GACGAACGCUGGCGGCGUGCCUAAUACAUGCAAGUCGAACGCUGAAGGAGGAGCUUGCUUCUCUGGAUGAGUUGCGAACGGGUGAGUAACGCGUAGGUAACCUGCCUGGUAGCGGGGGAUAACUAUUGGAAACGAUAGCUAAUACCGCAUAAUAGUAGAUGUUGCAUGACAUUUGCUUAAAAGGUGCAAUUGCAUCACUACCAGAUGGCCCUGCGUUGUAUUAGCUAGUUGGUGAGGUAACGGCUCACCAAGGCAACGAUACAUAGCCGACCUGAGAGGGGGAUCGGCCACACUGGGACUGGGACACGGCCCAGACUCCUACGGGAGGCAGCAGUAGGGAAUCUUCGGCAAUGGACGGAAGUCUGACCGAGCAACGCCGCGUGAGUGAAGAAGGUUUUCGGAUCGUAAAGCUCUGUUGUAAGAGAAGAACGAGUGUGAGAGUGGAAAGUUCACACUGUGACGGUAUCUUACCAGAAAGAUACGGCUAACUACGUG
Molecule: ribosomal RNA, 495 nt
Filed under: uncultured bacterium
Lineage: Bacteria
Description: partial 16S ribosomal RNA
Rfam family: Bacterial small subunit ribosomal RNA
Source: RNAcentral